GUGGACCUCGGAUCAGGUAGGGAUA
Molecule: ribosomal RNA, 25 nt
Filed under: Pseudocercospora sp. CBS 113369
Lineage: Eukaryota; Fungi; Ascomycota; Dothideomycetes; Mycosphaerellales; Mycosphaerellaceae
Description: partial 28S ribosomal RNA
Source: RNAcentral